GGGAUGUUAGCUCAGUCGGUUCAGAGCGCAUGCUUCACACGCAUGAGGUCACGUGUUCGAGUCACGUACAUCCCA
Molecule: transfer RNA, 75 nt
Filed under: Bacteroidota bacterium
Lineage: Bacteria; Pseudomonadati; Bacteroidota
Description: tRNA-Val
Rfam family: tRNA
About the family: Transfer RNA (tRNA) molecules are approximately 80 nucleotides in length.
Source: RNAcentral